CCCUUAGAUGUUCUGGGCUGCACGCGCGCUACACUGAAGCGUUCAACGAGUAUUUCACCUUGCCCGGGAGGGUUGGGUAAUCUUUUUAAAACGCUUCGUGAUGGGGAUAGAUUAUUGCAAUUAUUAAUCUUCAACGAGGAAUUCCUAGUAAGCGCGAGUCAUCAGCUCGUGCUGAUUACGUCCCUGCCCUUUGUACACACCGCCCGUCACUCCUACCGAUUGAGUGAUCCGGUGAAUAAUUCGGACUGCAGCAGUGCUUGGUCCUCCGGGCUUUGCAGCGGAAAGUUUAGUGAACCUUAUCACUUAGAGGAAGGAGAAGUCGUAACA
RNAcentral lists this ribosomal RNA (327 nucleotides) under uncultured eukaryote. RNAcentral's name for it is "partial 18S ribosomal RNA". It matches the Rfam family "Eukaryotic small subunit ribosomal RNA", at positions 1470 to 1796 of the family's 1831-position model. The record is from RNAcentral.